GGGGCCAUAGCUCAGUUGGUAGAGCGCUUGCAUGGCAUGCAAGAGGUCGCCGGUUCGACCCCGGCUGGCUCCACCA
Molecule: transfer RNA, 76 nt
Filed under: Xylella fastidiosa
Lineage: Bacteria; Pseudomonadati; Pseudomonadota; Gammaproteobacteria; Lysobacterales; Lysobacteraceae
Also listed under: 17 other names
Description: tRNA_Ala_GGC
Rfam family: tRNA
About the family: Transfer RNA (tRNA) molecules are approximately 80 nucleotides in length. Their secondary structure includes four short double-helical elements and three loops (D, anti-codon, and T loops). Further hydrogen bonds mediate the characteristic L-shaped molecular structure. tRNAs have two regions of fundamental functional importance: the anti-codon, which is responsible for specific mRNA codon recognition, and the 3' end, to which the tRNAs corresponding amino acid is attached (by aminoacyl-tRNA synthetases). tRNAs cope with the degeneracy of the genetic code in two manners: having more than one tRNA (with a specific anti-codon) for a particular amino acid; and 'wobble' base-pairing, i.e. permitting non-standard base-pairing at the 3rd anti-codon position.
Source: RNAcentral